GUAGGUGGCAAGCGUUGUCCGGAAUCAUUGGGCGUAAAGCGCGCGCAGGCGGUUCUUUAAGUCUGAUGUGAGAGCCCACGGCUCAACCGUGGAGGGUCAUUGGAAACUGGAGAACUUGAGUACAGAAGAGGAAAGCGGAAUUCCACGUGUAGCGGUGAAAUGCGUAGAGAUGUGGAGGAACACCAGUGGCGAAGGCGGCUUUCUGGUCUGUAACUGACGCUGAGGCGCGAAAGCGUGGGGGGAGCAAACAGGAUUAGAUACCCUGGUAGUCCACGCCGUAAACGAUGAGUGCUAAGUGUUAGGGGGUUUCCGCCCCCCCCUUAGUGCUGCAGCUAACGCAUUAAGCACUCCGCCUGGGGAGUACGGCCGCAAGGCUG
RNAcentral lists this ribosomal RNA (377 nucleotides) under uncultured organism. Its description in RNAcentral is "partial 16S ribosomal RNA". It matches the Rfam family "Bacterial small subunit ribosomal RNA", at positions 527 to 896 of the family's 1533-position model. The record is from RNAcentral.